CAAAUACUCCCUCCGUCCGGAAAUACUUGUCAUCAAAAUGGAUAAAGGAAAUGUAUCUAGGCGUAUUUUAGUUUUAGAUACAUCUCUUUUUAUCCAUUUUGAUGACAAGUAUUUUCGGACGGAGGGAGUAGAAA
Molecule: non-coding RNA, 134 nt
Organism: Triticum aestivum (bread wheat)
Lineage: Eukaryota; Viridiplantae; Streptophyta; Magnoliopsida; Poales; Poaceae
Source: Rfam